AUGAAUGCAUUGAAUAGGAAGAGUAGGAUCCGAACCUUUCAGAGAGAGAAAUCAUUAGCUGAGAGAUUUCUUAAGAUGUACGAUUCGAAUGUCGCCUAGGAGCAGCUAUCCUGAAAAAUCGUUUGAUUCAUAAGGCUAGCCGGCAGCUGACCGUUAUCAGAUUGAGUGUGUAGUACGUUAGAUUUUUUGUACUGCAAACAAAGGUGGUACCGCGAGUGAACUUUCUUCGUCCUUUGG
RNAcentral lists this non-coding RNA (237 nucleotides) under Halalkalibacter okhensis. RNAcentral describes it as "Bacillus okhensis T-box sequence". It matches the Rfam family "T-box leader". From Rfam's summary of the family: Uncharged tRNA acts as the effector for transcription antitermination of genes in the T-box leader family. T-boxes are found upstream of many aminoacyl-tRNA synthetase genes and some amino acid biosynthetic genes usually in Gram-positive bacteria. The record is from RNAcentral. Lineage: Bacteria; Bacillati; Bacillota; Bacilli; Caryophanales; Bacillaceae.